This 74-nucleotide transfer RNA is filed under the name Candidatus Acidifodinimicrobium mancum. Its description in RNAcentral is "tRNA-Pro". It matches the Rfam family "tRNA". From Rfam's summary of the family: Transfer RNA (tRNA) molecules are approximately 80 nucleotides in length. Their secondary structure includes four short double-helical elements and three loops (D, anti-codon, and T loops). Further hydrogen bonds mediate the characteristic L-shaped molecular structure. tRNAs have two regions of fundamental functional importance: the anti-codon, which is responsible for specific mRNA codon recognition, and the 3' end, to which the tRNAs corresponding amino acid is attached (by aminoacyl-tRNA synthetases). tRNAs cope with the degeneracy of the genetic code in two manners: having more than one tRNA (with a specific anti-codon) for a particular amino acid; and 'wobble' base-pairing, i.e. permitting non-standard base-pairing at the 3rd anti-codon position. Lineage: Archaea; Nanobdellati; Candidatus Parvarchaeota; Candidatus Acidifodinimicrobiaceae. The record is from RNAcentral.
GGGGUGGUAGUCUAGCUUGGUAUGAUACUGGUUUCGGGUGCCAGAGGUCGUGGGUUCAAAUCCCAUCCGCCCCA